AAGUGAAAGCGGAGCUUCAGUUGAUAGGGAAUUUAAUGACAGGUUUCUCUCAUAAAACUUAACAACAGGGAUGCUUUCCAGACAGGUUUACAGGUAUUUACAUUGCAGGAUUUUGGUGUAAAACUCUUUAAAGGACAUUUUCAGCUAUAAAGCCUAAGAGGUCUGGAUAUCACAGUCAGUUGAAGAACAUCACCGGAGGCAGUUAGACCAGGAGGUUAUAGAAUGCUUUGGUACACAGCACUCUGUGUGCUUGGAUUAAUCCUUCCCUGCGUACAUGGAGACAUCUCUGGUAAGAUCCAAAUUCAGACCGUGGUCAGUAACUUGAAGAUCUCUGCCCUGGCUUCCUCCAACUCAACGGAUGCCUCUAUCCAAGCUGCUCUCCAAAAUGCAGCUAUCCAGCUUGAGUUCUAUCUGAAGACAAACUACGAAGACAUCCAAUCCUUCAGAAUCACCAAUAUAAAAAAAGCAUGACCUG
This is a long non-coding RNA of Osmerus eperlanus (European smelt), 475 nucleotides long. RefSeq lists it as uncharacterized. Lineage: Eukaryota; Metazoa; Chordata; Actinopteri; Osmeriformes; Osmeridae. The transcript has 3 exons. The record is from RefSeq and is a predicted model, not a curated record.